UCCUACGGGGGGCAGCAGUGAGGAAUAUUGGUCAACGGUCGGGAGACUGAACCAGCCAAGCCGCGUGAGGGAUGAAGGUACAGAGUAUCGUAAACCUCUUUUGUCAGGGAACAAAGGCGGGGACGUGUCCCCGGAUGAGUGUACCUGAAGAAAAAGCAUCGGCUAACUCCGUGCCAGCAGCCGCGGUAAUACGGAGGAUGCGAGCGUUAUCCGGAUUUAUUGGGUUUAAAGGGUGCGCAGGCGGUCUGUUAAGUCAGCGGUCAAAGCCCGGGGCUCAACCCCGGCCCGCCGUUGAAACUGGCAGU
RNAcentral lists this ribosomal RNA (305 nucleotides) under uncultured bacterium. RNAcentral's name for it is "bacterial SSU rRNA". It matches the Rfam family "Bacterial small subunit ribosomal RNA", at positions 337 to 640 of the family's 1533-position model. The record is from RNAcentral.